UCUCGUAUGGCCGUCACCACCCCCACACCACGCGGUCCCAGCUCCACCCCCCGCUCCUUCUCCCCUCUCUGCUGCGUGUUGCGGGCUCACAGCGAGAAGACGCGGUCGAGACAAGGGGGGGAACAAGGCAGAGAGAGAGAGAGACGGAGACAAAGGGACCCCCAGCACCACCACCACAGCCCCAUACUUGCUCGUUGACGACCAUUCAGGGGUGCACCGCGGAGAGCUCUACGACACCACCUGUGAAAAACCUACGCCGUGAACAGCUCAACAGAACUCGUCUCUCAAGUUCGCCAGUCGCUCCGUGGUCAUGUUCAUCGCAGAGACUCCUUUCGUGCUGCCCAGCAGACUCGGCGGCGGGGGUGGUCUGCAGGGGGGGGCCCGAUGCCCCCUCCGGACGGCCUCCGUACAGCCGCCUUUGCUGCCGAGUGAACCCCCCUCGGCUCGGUGGGGUAGGGGGGGGGGGCGGUAUCCUUCUCCACCGGGCCCAGAACACGAGAGCUGCGUCCCGUGGUGGAGGAGCGGCAGGCCAUGGAGCCUCGCUCACUCGCUCGCUCCCUUCCAGCCUCGUCUGCCAGAGUGGGGGCCGUAUCCAGCUGAUGAUGUUUCAGCACCGUUACUGGGGGAGGGCAGUGAGGCCCCCCCCCCACCAAGGUUCUUAUCAGUGAUCUAAGUUGAUUUGACGGACACGAAAUGAGAUGGGAAUGCUAUUUUCAGGAUGCCGAAAUUUGGCGUCUGCCUCCUCUAAUAGAUACUUUGUGAACCAAGCGACGGGCGCGCGUGUUGAUCGCUGGGUGUCGAGACGCUGAAUCUCGACACCGGUCAGGCGUGUGCUUGUGUUGAACCAAUGCUGCUGAAAGCACUCCCAGAAGACCGCGGUGGCCGAUGGGAUGUGUAAAAUAAAAGUCGACAGUUGUACGUGCAGGGAGGGGUAAUCGUCUGCUUAUUGAUGAUGUUACACUGCACUUGCAUCCUCCACGGCGCUGCUACUGAUUGUUCUUCUGUAUUGGGUAGCACGGAGCGUGCAAUCCGGGGCUUUGUGUCGCGGGGUCGAUGCGAACGUAACAUUGCAUAAGACCACCCACCUACACGGGAUAUCAUCGCGUGAUCUAUUGGAGGAGGUGCACCGUAUAGGUUGGCGAGCUGUCUUUACCACACAUGCGUGGUUAUCCCCCCCCGUGUGUAGGGGAUUUCUCCGGGCGCGCUUCGUCUCCUUCAAUGAAGUGGGGAAAAAAAAAUACUCCCAAAAAAGGAUCUGGAAUAAAGAGCCAGGGCCAAAUACUUUUGUAAAAGGAGCUUCGUGAUUCGGUCAGGAAUUUCCUGGUAAAUAUUGAACCUUUAAUUCAUCAAUAUUUUACGUGUACUUUAAUAUAUAAACACCUUCGUAUUACUAACGGCGUCUCGGAGCGCUGUAGAGGAGGGAUGCCGAACACGUCUGUGCGAUGUAAAUGCAAGACAUUUAAAUGUGAUUUAUCAGCGGAGCAGUGUUCUCGAGGCCCAUGCAAUUUAAAGGUAAUAAAAGGUUAUAUCCGCACCAGACUUAAGGUCGGUGACAGAAUUCUUCAGUAAAUUUCACGUGGUUCAUAUAUUCGCUACGGGGUUUUUUGUUUGUUUUGGCCGUGAGCGGAAAUCGAACUCGGGUCGCCGGCAUCGUCGCCGUGGUGCUGCGCUAACCACAGCGCCACCACUCCUCAGACCGCCCUCCCCCCCCCGCGCGCUCCUCCUCCACACGUGGCAGUGUGAUCACUCCUCCCCCUGCAGACACGCGCACAGGACACACGCA
Non-coding RNA from Petromyzon marinus (sea lamprey), 1783 nucleotides. NCBI's taxonomy places the organism in Eukaryota, Metazoa, Chordata, Hyperoartia, Petromyzontiformes, Petromyzontidae. The record is from RefSeq and is a predicted model, not a curated record.